GCGCUAACUUCCGGGAACUAUUGAGCGGCUCCAUGAUCCGCCAUUGCUGUAAAAAAAACGGUCCAUUGGAGUCAACGGAGUUGUCGCAACUCUCUCUCUCUCUAUGGCUCUGGAUUACACUAACAUUAGGAUGAUUUCAGCCAUACCCUGGAGUUGGCUAUGAAACAAAGUCCUAAUUGCUGCUGUACUGUACAUCCCAAGCACCCCCUGCAUUCUUAUCAUGGGAAAACGGUGUCAACACAGGAACAUUUCACUUGACUAUUGACUGUAAGUCUAUAGCAAUUGUUAUUAAUGACAGCCCUGUCUUUGUAUUCAUUUUUUCCCCCAUGUAUUUGAAAAUGUUUUGAAUCUUGACUGGUUCACAGUGAAGUUCAUCUUUGUGACCACUAUUUGGUGCAAUACCAAUAUUGUACAAGUCAAGUACCUGCUCAUGUUUUCUUUUUUUCUGCCUGUUGCUGUUUAAAACUAAAAAGUGUGCCACAAUACAAGCAUUUUCAAUGGUGCUUUACACAUUGUUAAAUUAAUUGAUGUAAUAAUAUUUUUGUCUUCACCUGUUUAAGGCAAAUAAAAGCUACUGAACGCACUUUCAAGAAUGUUUACAUGAGGUAAAAAUAAACCAUGUUCAAUUGUGCUGGAUUUAUUUGCUAGUAAAGAUAGACCUAUGCUGAGCAGUAAGCGUAUGUCCGUAAAUUUAACAGAAAAUGUCCUGGUAAUUUUCUGCCAGUGCAUUAUCCAUUUUUUUAUGGAAUUAUUAUUAUUUUUUUACAGUGAUAUUAGGCAAGAAUGGGACCAAAUUCCAACACCAAAACUCCCGAAACUCAAAACCUUGAUGCCCAGAUGUCUUCGAACUGAAAAGAAGAGGAUAUGCUACACCAUGGUAAACAUGCCACCCAUCCCAACUAUUUUGAGACCUGUAGCAGGCAUCAAAUUUGAAAUGAGCUCAUUUUGUGCAUAAAAUGUAAAA
Molecule: long non-coding RNA, 964 nt
Organism: Onychostoma macrolepis
Lineage: Eukaryota; Metazoa; Chordata; Actinopteri; Cypriniformes; Cyprinidae
Exons: 3
Source: RefSeq, a predicted model, not a curated record